AUGCUUUCUCCUGAUAUGGUUUUCUUCCAUUUUCUCUCCCUCUUUAUAAACCAUCUGCAGAUUAGCGGAUUGCCUGCUGCCUCCUACCCACACUACACAAGAAGGAAACAAACUCUAGAGAUCUUCAGAGAGCAAACAAUGGCGGACUUCGCGCUUGGGUUGACCAAGACGGCGGUGGAGGGGACACUGAGCAGGGUCCAGUUGGCGAUCGAUGAAGAGAACAAGCUGAGGGUGACGGCGAAGCAAGAUCUGCGAUACAUCACAGCCGAAUUCCAAAUGAUGCAGUCCUUCCUUAAGGUCGUCAACAAAGAGCGCGCUAAUAAUGAAGUGGUGAAGACCUGGGUGAAGCAGCUCCGAGACCUUGCCUUCGAUGUCGAAGACUGCGUUGAGUUUGUUGUCCACCUGGACAACAACAACACGACCUUGAUCUGGUUGUGGCGCCUGGUGCCAUCCUGCAUGGCACCACCUCGGACUCGGGAGCUGGACAGGGCAGUCGCUGAGUUAAAGCAGCUGAAGGCGAGGGUCGAGGAGGUAAGCCAGAGAAACACACGCUACAACCUCAUCAGUGACUCCGGCUCCCAAGCCAAGACCACCACGCCAACCGAGCAGGCCGCCCUGGUCACCACCAACCCAUCAGCAUUCCACAUGCUAACUGAGGUCUGGGAGGCUGCUGGGAAGCGACGCGGCAUGAGUGACCUACAGGAGUUGAUCAUGGGUGAAGGCAGUGACCUUCAAACAAUCUCCGUAUGGGGAAGUUCAGCAGCUGAUCUUGGGACAACGUCCAUUUUUAGCAUGCUGUAUGGUGACCCAGGAAUCUGCCGAGCAUUCAAAAGACGAGCAUGGGUAAAGUUGACGCAUCCUUUUAAACCUGAUGAGUUCAUCAAGAGCUUGCUGACUCAGUUCUAUGUGAGCUCUCACCAAAAAAACAUUGCCGUGGACCGUCUCACGGAGGCUGAGCUCAUGCAGCAAGUGAAUGCACACAAGUAUCUCAUCAUUCUAGAAGAAGUAUUCAGUGUGGUGGACUGGGAUGCCAUCCGAGUGUGCCUGCCGGACAAUGAGAAUGGCAGCCGAAUCAUUGUGUCGACAAAGCAAUUAAGGACUGCACUUUUGUGCACAGGGGGGCCAUACAAAGUUUCAGAGCUCAGGAGAUUCUCCGAUGAUCAAUCUCUUUGUGCCUUUUCCAAGAAGGUAGGGCGUCAGAGUGGUAUGCGAGAUCUUAUUUGGCAAAUAAGGUGUCGUAGUGUGAUUUCGGUAUGGGGGCUUAGCAAUGACAAAUCAACACUCAUCAAUAAAGUGUACACUAGCAUAGUGUAUAAGUGUAGACAAUUCGAGGGGGUUGAAUUUCAACGACACAGCUGGGUCAAUGUACCCGCUCCUUUCAAUUUGGAGGUUUUCUCUCGGCGCUUACUUGUAAGUUUUCGUUCAGAAGAUCUCCAAGCUGAAGAAAUUGCGGUGGUUAGUAUGAUGGGAGAGUGUGUCUUAACUCAAGAGUGUUGCAAGUUUCUGCGUGAAGACGAUUGCCUCGUCGUUAUUAAUGGUUUGCAGUCCACACAUGACUGGGACUUGAUAAAAGCUGCCUUCUUGUCUGAGCCUAUUAAAGGAUGUAUUCUUAUCAUUACAAAUGAAUCAAGUGUUGCCACACAUUGUGUAGAGGAGGAAGAUGGAGUUCUCAACAUCAAAGAUUUGGAAGCUGACAUUAUGCUUCGCCCCUUGAUAAAGGGUUGGAGAACUGGAGGGAAGGAAGCUACUCACAGGGAUUUCCUUUUCUCCAUCAGAUUGGGAGAGACACGUGAAUGGUUCACAAAAUUUGGAAACAUGCAUGGGGAACAAAGGAAGGACCUUUGGUUCCAAUUAGACAAUCCUGGUGUGAUCUCGUUGUGGGGACCUGCUGGUGCUGGGAAAUCAACUCUCAUAAGAAUCGUGUACUAUUAUCUAAUGUUUAGAACUGAUGCUUAUCGGCAGUUGGAAUAUCAAGAGAGAAUGGUUCACCUGGAAGGGAAAAUUGCAAAGUUUAGUUGGGUUGAUGUGCCGCAUCCUUUCAAUUUGAAAGACUUCUCUUGGCGCUUGUUAUUGAAUUUUCAUUCAGGUGAUCUUCAGGCCCAAAAAAAUGCAGCAGUUGGUAUGAUGGAAGGCCAAGACCCAAUUAAGGAGUGCUCUAAGUUUUUGCAUGAAGACAAAUGUGUCAUCGUUAUUGAUGGUCUACGGUCCACUGAUGAUUGGGAUUUGAUAAAAGCUGCCUUAUUAUCUGAUCCAGUUACCAGCCAUAUUAUUGUCAUUACAAAUGUUGCAAGUGUCGCCAUGCAUUGUGUAGACGAGGGAGAUCGAGUGAUCAAGAUCAAUUGUCCAGAAGCUGACAUGGCCCUUGAUCCCCCAAUAAAGGGUUGUGCUUCCCGCGUAUUCUCCAACAGGAGUGCAGAGGCACUUAACUUUAUCAACACAUUUAGACUUCUUGGGUGUCAGGAUCGAUCAGCUGAUGAGCUUCUCCGCCGUUUAGAUUCCCCAGGCCCUAGUGUGACCUCAUUGUGGGGAAUUGCUGGUGUUGGGAAAUCAGCUGUGGCAAGAAGUCUGUACUGCCACGUGAUGCUUGGACUGGAGCAAAAUUUCAAGUGUAACCUCGCUGGUCCCAUAACGGAAUUUACAAUGUGCAGCUGGGUAGACGUGCGUCAUCCAUUUAAUUUGACAGACUUGUCUUGGCAUUUGCUCCUGGAUUUUCAUUCAGAUGAUCUUCAAGCUAAGGAAAAGGCAGCAAUUGGUAUCUUGGAAGGGCAAGAUCCUGUUCAAGAGUGUCGCAGAAUUAUGUGUGAGUACAGAAGUCUUGUUGUUCUCGAUGGAUUACGUUCCAGAGAGGAUUGGGACUUGAUAAAAGCCACCUUCUUACCCGAUUCUACUAAUGCAUGUAUCAUCGUAAUUACAAAUGAAGCAAGUGUGGCUACACAUUGUGUAGAUAAUAAGGAAGAUCGAGCGGUCAAUGUCAAAGGUCUUGAAGCUGACAUGACGCUCGUUCUCUUCAAACAGAUAAUAAAGGAUGGGAUGGAAUUUACUCCUGACGAGAUGGAGCUCUCCAAAGUUACCUUAGGCAGAUGUGGUGGGAUUCCUAAAGUUAUUGCUACUAUAGGCCAACUCUUCACCAAAGAGAAUGCCAGGUACUGGUCUAUGUCAGCCACAGAUUUGUUGGAGUUUAUAAACGAUGACUUUAUGAGCAAGUUGGAGACCCAUGAUUGGUUUCACAGUUUAAGGGGUCUAUUUUCUUGGAUGCAGUCCUACUUUGACGGUUGCUCAGAUUCCCUCAAGCCAUGCAUUUUCUAUCUGUCAAUCUUCCCUCCAGACCACAAGAUAAGGCAGCGGCAUUUGUUGAGACGGUGGAUUGCAGAGGGUUAUUGCAGGGACACAUAUAGUGGUACUGCAGAGGAGAAUGGGAAGAUAUUGUUCUUGGAACUCAUCAGCUUGAGCAUAAUCCAACAAUGUCAGAAGGAACAGAAGUACCUAUACCAAGUCAAUGGUUUCUUUCAUGAAUACAUCAUUUCACGGCCAAUGGAGGACAAUCUUGUCUUCGCACUGGAAGGGAAUUGCAGCCCGAACUCGCAACAUGCAGGUCAACAUCUCACCAUAAGGGAGGACUGGGACAGGGACGAGGCAGUAUUUAGGAGCAUGGACUUCUCACAUCUGCGGUCCUUGACUGUGUUUGGGGAGUGGAUGCCAUUCUUCCUCUCUUCCAACAUGAGUCUACUUCGGGUGUUAGAUUUGGCAGACACAUCAGGUAUACUAGAUGCUGACCUUGAGCAGAUCGUGAAGGUGCUACCUCGUCUUAAGUUUCUCUCUCUGCGAGGAUGCAAAGAGAUAAGCCAUCUACCAGAAUCAUUCGGUGGCCUGAGGCAGCUGCAAACUUUGGAUGUCAGAGACACCUCAAUAGUCAAGCUACCAUUGUGUGUCAUCAAGCUACAGAAGUUGCAAUACAUUCGUGCUGGCACCAUCAUAUCAUCAGAUGAAGGUGAUGAAUCUGUUGCAAGUGUACCAACAACAAACGUAGAACAAACAUCAUUGCCACCGGAGGGCAGUGAUGACAUGGUCACAACACUACCGAAAACAACAGAGGAGGUUCAGAUAUCAACACCACCUGAAGGUAGUGAUGGCGUGGUCACAACUCUACCGGAAACUACAGAGGAGAUUCAGACAUCAACACUACCAGAAACGAGAAGAGAGGUUCAGACAUCAGCAUCACCUGAGGGCAGUGAUGACAUGGUCACAGCACUAACGGAAACACGGUUGUUAUGGAGCUGCCGGCCAUGUAGUUUGGUGUCUAGCUGGUUAUCCAAGUUGCGCAGACGCCGACUUGAUAAUGAUGGUGUUGAGGUUCCUGAAGGGAUUGGGAGCAUGACGGCCUUGCAUACUAUUGGUGUUGUCAAUGUCAAUAUUCCUAAUGGAAAGGCAAUCCUAAAGGAGCUUAAGAAGGUUACACAACUACGCAAGCUCAGUGUGUCUGGCAUAAACGGGCAAAACAUACAAGAAUUGUGUAAUUUCAUAUCCGGUCACAAGCAUCUGGAGUCCUUGUCAGUGCGACUCGAUAAGCAUAAGGAUAAGGAUAAGGAGGGGUUAUUUGCUUGUUUCAGUGACAUGAUUUCCCAGCCACCCAAGACCCUAAAGAGCCUUAAGCUGUACGGGCAUGUAAACAAACUGCCAAUUUGGAUCAAACAGCUUGAUAAUCUCACGAAGUUCGAUCUUGAGUUGACUAUACUAUUGCCAGAGGACAUGCACUUCCUUGGUGAAUUGUCAGAUGCAUAUUUCAUACGCCGCCUUUGUGUCAAGCCAAUUCAAGACGGUGAACUCCAUUUUAGCACCCUGGGACAUGUUCUCUUUUGGACAUUACAGGUCCUAGAGAUCGAUUGCACCUCCAAGUUACUGGUAACUUUUGUAGAUCAUGUGAUUCGGACAACUGAGGUGCUGAAGAUUCACUGCUCUGGUGGGGCGUCCUUGCAGAUUUCUGGACUAGAGCAUCUAGCUAGUCUCAAAGAAGUGUGGCUGAAGGGUUCCUACAGCGACGAACUCGCGCAAGAGUUGCAACAGCAACUUUCCGAGCAUGCAAAAAAACCUGUCUGGAAGCUAGUGCAGCGACGCUCGUCUUGA
RNAcentral lists this ribosomal RNA (5121 nucleotides) under Triticum aestivum (bread wheat). Its description in RNAcentral is "partial small subunit ribosomal RNA". Lineage: Eukaryota; Viridiplantae; Streptophyta; Magnoliopsida; Poales; Poaceae. The record is from RNAcentral.